AUUUAAAGUCUCUAUGUCAAGUGCUCUGUUCACUAUACUGGGACUGAGAGUAUUCAAUUUGUUUUUGCUUAAGUCUAAUAAAGAUAACUUCUCAUUUUCUUGAACAGUCAUGAAAUCAAAAUUCUCAACCGUAUUUCCAUGUCACUAAAUGUCGAUGUAUCAAUUUGCCUUAAACCGUUUCUUUCCAUAUACAGUCUUCUUAGAUUAUGAAGCGUCUUCAAACUACCGAAAGGAAUUUUUUGGAUGCCGUUAUUCGAAAUGUCAAGGGAUCUUAGUGACGGUAAAUCUAGAUCAGGCGAAGGUGUAACGGGCAAACUAGUGAUUUGAUUUCUCUGCAAGUAUAGCUGUUCCAGCCCUCUUGGCAGUCCCGGAACAAAUUCUAUAAGCUUAUUGAAACUCGCAUCUAAUUCAUAAAGAUUUUCGAGAUUCCUAAAUGUUGCAGGAUGCAAAGAUACCAGUGCGUUUCCUGAUAUAUUGACGUAUUCAAGUAGAGGUAUUUCUAGAAAUGUUAUUGGGUCGACUACUUUUAAUUGAUUAUGGCUAAAGUUUAUGCGACGCAAAGCAGGUAAGUUGUACAAUAGUUUUGGCUGUAGACGUUGAAAAUAAUUAUAUGACAAGUCCAAUCCUUUGAGUGCAGGUAAAUCCCAAAAUGGGCCUUCAUUAACAUCGGAUAAAGUAUUGUUGCUCAAAUGUAAUUCUCGUAGAGAGGGCAUCGCCACGAAUGAAUCGGUUUGUAUAAAUUUGAUGCUAUUCUUGUUUAAAUGCAAUCUUUCCAAACUCGGGUGACCUCUUAGUGCACCCCUAGGUAUUUCCUGAAGAAGGUUGUCACUUAAAUCGAGAAAUUUUAAUCUCGGUAACGCGUCGAGCAACGCACGAAAUUCAGAUAUAUGUCUGAUUUCAUUACCAAUGAGUGUUAAUUCUUCGACGCCACUGCCUGAAUGUUGUAAGAAUGAUUCAGGAUGGAUUUGUCUAAUUUUAUUGUAAUUUAAAUCAACUAUCCUCAGUUUCGGCACUCUGUGGAAUGCUCCAUGAUGUAUUAUGCUUAUGUUAUUAUUUGCCAGAAAUAGGUUCUCCAGCAUGGGCUGGUCCACAAAAGCACCCUCGUUCAAUUUAUCGAUUAUAUUGUGAUUUAAGUUCAAGUGUGAUAGCGUAGAAAUAUCUCUAGUAGCUCUACCAACCAUUGUGGCGUCUAAGAUCAUGUUGUUGCUUAGGGAUAGUUCACUUAAAGACGGUAUUAAGGAAAACGCCCUCAUGUGUAUAAUAUUAAUUCCACAAUUUGUGAUUUCUAAUCUCCGAAGUUUCGGUAAGUUAUAAAAUGCAUUUUCUUUUACAAUGCGAAGAAGUGGACUGCCUUGUAUGAAGAGCUUGUCUAAAUUUGGUAAGUUCUCAAAUGUAUUUUCAUUAAUUGCGUGCAAAUUUUCAGACUGUACACUAAUAUAUCGCAGUUUCUGCAAAUUUUUGAAUAUCGGUAUGCGCUUCAAACUUUGUGAUUGUAUAGUUAUCGCCUGAAGAUUUUGGAGCUUUAACAAGCUGUCUGCAGGAAAAUUCCUUAAUUCAUUUUCAACAAUGAAAAUUUCAACUAAAUUUUUCUCUUGUGUUUCUAACCACGCAGCCGAUAAUCGUUCUAAUCCAUUGUACCGCAGCAUAAGUCUCAGAACUGGCACAUGUUGAAAUAUUUUACCAGGCAUAGAAGGAAGGUAAUUAUUUUCUAUAAUGAGCUCAUCUAUAGGUUUCCCAAUAGACUCUCCUAUUCUUUGGAGACCUUUUGAAACUUGCGAUAAGUCGCUGUGCGUACACCUGUGGGGAAACAAAACACAAAUUCAUGUUAAUUAAUAAAUACAUAUAUGAUAUUGUACAUACAUCAUGGCAAAGCGAAUUAUAUAGCGUUAUAGACCUAAUGUUGAAUAAUGUACUGAAACUGACCAUAUUUGGAUAUCCUCAGUUCGAUUAGUGCAAAUACACGGAAGUAUAGUUUCUGGAGAUGGACAUAUUGAUUGUCCUGACGUCGCUACAACUAUUACGAGAAAUGUAAAUGAAAUCUUCGACAAAGUUUUAGUAUCCAUUCCUCUCUAUUUCUUUUUAGGAUCAUUGUAUCAUAGUACGUACGAACACGAAUCUUGUUUACCUGCGAAUAUAAUUAAUUGAAAUAAAAAUUAUUAUUUUUUGGCACUUUAGUUCUACGGUUAAUGAAUUGAAAACAUAAAAUAAAUAGGUAAAUAAUUUAAGCGACGAUGGCUUUCAUUAAAGAGCAGUUAAUAGAAUGAACGGAAUACGCGUCAAGGACCGGUAUGCCACGACUGAAAACAAUGCGAAUACAGAAACAAUAGUUUGGGUACAACGCUCCGCUGCUCUUGGCACUUUCACUCAUUCAAUUCGCGAUCUAUGUGACCAACGUGCAAUAUACUUUACAUCACAUUCAAUUACGCAAUUCCUUCGAAGGCUUUAAAACUUUGUAGGUCAGACUGCGAUUGUUGAUUUAGUUACGGCACUGGUUACAGUGAGUAUUCGUUUUGGCAUUUAGUUAUGUACCUAUAAUGAAUUAUUAACGGGGCGGCGCGGACGUAACCGAUUUUCUUUUUUUUCUUAUCAUAAUCUAUCUUCAUAUUUCGAUAUGCAUUUUGUUAAAUACCCAUUAUGUGGUGUUGUAUGAUUAAUGACAAAAAAGAUCCAAUCAAUUGAAGGGUUUGGCAACUGCCUGUCCCGUCCGCAGAAAUUGGAGAUGUAUGAUCAAAAUGUAUUUUUUUUUUACAUUUAGCAGUAGUAUCUGGUAUUCAUAGACAUAUUAUUAUAAAAAUAAUGAAAGUAAUAGCAAAGUAAAGUAAAAGUUAUUAGGUACUUUAUAUACUAUAUAAACAGAUAUUAUAUAGUAAAUUAUUUUCUAAGUAAUAUAAAUAAUAAUAGUUUUAAAAUAAAGUAUAAAUAUUACAUUUCAAAUAAACAUCUGCGUGUAUUAAAUUACAUAGUUUACAAUCAUUGCUAGCUCUCUUCUUAAUUGUUUUUGCAAUUAAAUUGACAUUUUCACCGCCAAUGUUCUUGUUAAAGCCCGCAUCGCUUAAUAGGCAUACAUACAUCUAAGAUACAUACUGAACAAACAUGAGCGGCCAACGGGACAAAUAUCAUUAUGUUACCGCUAUCGCACUUAUCUCUAACUGUCGCACACAUCAUCCCGUAGCAUGACUGCACAAGGCGCAUGUGUAGAGAGUAGGUAAUAUAAUUACGCUAUCAAAUAAAUAAAUUAUUUUUUA
Long non-coding RNA from Bombyx mori (domestic silkworm), 3245 nucleotides. RefSeq lists it as uncharacterized. Lineage: Eukaryota; Metazoa; Arthropoda; Insecta; Lepidoptera; Bombycidae. The transcript is spliced from 2 exons. The record is from RefSeq and is a predicted model, not a curated record.